Molecule: ribosomal RNA, 493 nt
Filed under: uncultured bacterium
Lineage: Bacteria
Description: bacterial SSU rRNA
Rfam family: Bacterial small subunit ribosomal RNA
Source: RNAcentral
CUCGAGGACGAACGCUGGCGGCGUGCUUAACACAUGCAAGUCGAACGAGAGGACGAGAGAAGCUUGCUCUUUGGAAUCGAGUGGCAAACGGGUGAGUAACACGUAAACAACCUGCCUUCAGGAUGGGGACAACAGACGGAAACGACUGCUAAUACCGAAUACGCUUGGGAGACCGCAUGAUCUUCCAAGGAAAGGGUGGCCUCUACUUGUAAGCUAUCGCCUGAAGAGGGGUUUGCGUCUGAUUAGCUGGUUGGUGAGGUAACGGCCCACCAAGGCGACGAUCAGUAGCCGGCCUGAGAGGGUGAACGGCCACAUUGGGACUGAGACACGGCCCAAACUCCUACGGGAGGCAGCAGUGGGGAAUAUUGGGCAAUGGGCGCAAGCCUGACCCAGCAACGCCGCGUGAAGGAAGAAGGCUUUAGGGUUGUAAACUUCUUUUGUCAGGGACGAGUAGAAGACGGUACCUGACGAAUAAGCCACGGCUAACUACGUG